GUCCUAAAUGACUCUCGGCAACGGAUAUCUCGGCUCUUGCAUCGAUGAAGAACGUAGCGAAAUGCGAUACUUGGUGUGAAUUGCAGAAUCCCGUGAACCAUCGAGUCUUUGAACGCAAGUUGCGCCCGAAGCCAUCAGGCCGAGGGCACGCCUGCCUGGGUGUCACCGA
This 169-nucleotide ribosomal RNA is filed under the name Aeschynomene villosa. RNAcentral's name for it is "5.8S ribosomal RNA". It matches the Rfam family "5.8S ribosomal RNA". Rfam says of the family: 5.8S ribosomal RNA (5.8S rRNA) is a component of the large subunit of the eukaryotic ribosome. It is transcribed by RNA polymerase I as part of the 45S precursor that also contains 18S and 28S rRNA. The record is from RNAcentral. Lineage: Eukaryota; Viridiplantae; Streptophyta; Magnoliopsida; Fabales; Fabaceae. RNAcentral also lists the same sequence under 1 other name.